Small nuclear RNA from Rhinolophus ferrumequinum (greater horseshoe bat), 112 nucleotides. The record is from Ensembl. Lineage: Eukaryota; Metazoa; Chordata; Mammalia; Chiroptera; Rhinolophidae.
AUUUCCUAGUAACAUAAACCAAAAUUCUUACUGCCUUGGAACGAUACAGAGAAGAUUAGCAUGGCCCCUGAGCAAGGGUGACACGGAAAUUCGUGAAGCGUUCCAUAUAUUU